AGUGAACGCUGGCGGUAGGCCUAACACAUGCAAGUCGAACGGCAGCACAGUAAGAGCUUGCUCUUACGGGUGGCGAGUGGCGGACGGGUGAGGAAUACAUCGGAAUCUACUUUUUCGGGGGGGAUAACGUAGGGAAACUUACGCUAAUACCGCAUACGACCUACGGGUGAAAGCAGGGGAUCUUCGGACCUUGCGCGAUUGAAUGAGCCGAUGUCGGAUUAGCUAGUUGGCGGGGUAAAGGCCCACCAAGGCGACGAUCCGUAGCUGGUCUGAGAGGAUGAUCACCCACACGGGAACUGAGACAGGGUCCAUACUCCUACGGGAGGCACCAGUGGCGAACAUUGGACAAUGGGCGCAAGCCUGACACAGCCAUACCGCGUGUGUGACGAAGGCCUUCGGGUUGUAAAGCCCUUUUGUUGGGAAAGAAAAGCAGCAGGUUAAUACCCCGCUGUUCUGACGGUACCCAAAGAAUAAGCACCGGCUAACUUCGUG
RNAcentral lists this ribosomal RNA (492 nucleotides) under uncultured bacterium. RNAcentral's name for it is "partial 16S ribosomal RNA". It matches the Rfam family "Bacterial small subunit ribosomal RNA", at positions 29 to 507 of the family's 1533-position model. The record is from RNAcentral.